RNAcentral lists this ribosomal RNA (253 nucleotides) under uncultured bacterium. Its description in RNAcentral is "partial 16S ribosomal RNA". It matches the Rfam family "Bacterial small subunit ribosomal RNA", at positions 524 to 776 of the family's 1533-position model. The record is from RNAcentral.
UACAGGGGGGGCAAGCGUUGUUCGGAAUUACUGGGCGUAAAGGGCCAGUAGGCGGCCAACUAAGUCCGACGUGAAAUCCCCAGGCUUAACCUGGGAACUGCGUCGGAUACUGGAUGGCUUGAAUUCGGGAGAGGGAUGCAGAAUUCCAGGUGUAGCGGUGAAAUGCGUAGAUAUCAGGAGGAAUACCGGUGGCGAAAGCGACUCUCUGGACGGCAACUGACGCUGAGGCACGAAAGCGUGGGGAGCAAACAGG